Molecule: non-coding RNA, 265 nt
Filed under: Bos taurus (domestic cattle)
Lineage: Eukaryota; Metazoa; Chordata; Mammalia; Artiodactyla; Bovidae
Source: RNAcentral
UGAUCUAGGGCUUACGGGGAGUGGGGAGACGGGAGCCGGCAGCCGGGAGGGGAGCGGGCCGCCGAGCAGGAGGUGAUUCACCCUUCGCCCUGCCCCUCGCCCUGCCCCACUGUCACCUCCCCUGGGCGGUGCAGAACCCUGAACCGCCCGGCGCAAUGCUGAAGGUGGGACUGCCUUUGGGUGCCUGUGCGCGGUCGUGGAAGUCGGUCCGGAUGGCUAGCUGCGGGAUGGCGCGCCGGAACCCGCUGGAGAAUAAAGUGGCCCU